Molecule: ribosomal RNA, 492 nt
Filed under: uncultured bacterium
Lineage: Bacteria
Description: partial 16S ribosomal RNA
Rfam family: Bacterial small subunit ribosomal RNA
Source: RNAcentral
AGUGAACGCUGGCGGUAGGCCUAAUACAUGCAAGUCGAACGGCAGCACAGUAAGAGCUUGCUCUUACGGGUGGCGAGUGGCGGACGGGUGAGGAAUACAUCGGAAUCUACUUUUUCGUGGGGGAUAACGUAGGGAAACUUACGCUAAUACCGCAUACGACCUACGGGUGAAAGCAGGGGAUCUUCGGACCUUGCGCGAUUGAAUGAGCCGAUGUCGGAUUAGCUAGUUGGCGGGGUAAAGGCCCACCAAGGCGACGAUCCGUAGCUGGUCUGAGAGGAUGAUCGGCCACACUGGAACUGAGACACGGUCCAGACUCCUACGGGAGGCAGCAGUAGGGAAUAUUGGGCAAUGGGCGCAAGCCUGAUCCAGCCAUACCGCGUGGGUGAAGAAGGCCUUCGGGUUGUAAAGCCCUUUUGUUGGGAAAGAAAAGCAGCGGAUUAAUACCCCGCUGUUCUGACGGUACCCAAAGAAUAAGCACCGGCUAACUUCGUG